GACGAACGCUGGCGGCGUGCUUAGCACAUGCAAGUCGAACGGAAAGGCCCGGCUUGCCGGGUACUCGAGUGGCGAACGGGUGAGUAACACGUGGGUGAUCCGCCCUGCACUUCGGGAGAAGCCGGGGAAACUGGGGGUAUACCGGGUAGGAGCCAUGUUAGGUGUGAUGGUUGGAAAGUUUUUUGGGUGUGGGAUGGGUUGGGGGUCUGUGUGCUUGCUGGGGGGGUAUUGGUCUAGCAAGGGGGCGACGGGAAGCCGGCCUGAGAGGGUGGACGGCCACAUUGGGACUGAGAUACGGCCCAGACUCCUGCGGGAGGCAGCGGUGGGGAAUAUUGCGCAAUGGGCGGAAGCCUGAUGCAGCGACGCCGGGUGGGGGAUGACGGCCUUCGGGUUGUAAACGCCUUUCGCUAGGGACGAAGCUUUUUGUGACGGUACCUAGAUAAGAAGCACCGACUAACUACGUG
This 464-nucleotide ribosomal RNA is filed under the name uncultured bacterium. RNAcentral's name for it is "partial 16S ribosomal RNA". It matches the Rfam family "Bacterial small subunit ribosomal RNA", at positions 28 to 507 of the family's 1533-position model. The record is from RNAcentral.